This 253-nucleotide ribosomal RNA is filed under the name uncultured bacterium. RNAcentral describes it as "partial 16S ribosomal RNA". It matches the Rfam family "Bacterial small subunit ribosomal RNA", at positions 524 to 769 of the family's 1533-position model. The record is from RNAcentral.
UACGUAGGGGUCGAGCGUUGUCCGGAUUUAUUGGGCGUAAAGGGUGGGCAGGUGGCCGGUGAUGUGCCGUGUGAAAGCGCCGUAGUAACUGGACGGCGAGGUACGCGGUAGACACACCGGGCGUUGAGGCAGUGAGGGGGCGGUGGAAUUCCCGGUGUAGUGGUGAAAUGCGUAGAUAUCGGGAGGAACACCAGUGGCGCGAAGCGCCGCCUGGCACUGACCUGACAGCUGAGCCAACGACGGCGUGGGGGAG